RNAcentral lists this ribosomal RNA (216 nucleotides) under uncultured bacterium. RNAcentral describes it as "partial 16S ribosomal RNA". It matches the Rfam family "Bacterial small subunit ribosomal RNA", at positions 118 to 351 of the family's 1533-position model. The record is from RNAcentral.
UGGGAACGUACCUUUCGGUUCGGGACAACCCAGGGAAACUUGGGCUAAUACCGGAUACGCCCUUCGGGGGAAAGAUUUAUCGCCGAAAGAUCGGCCCGCGUCCGAUUAGCUAGUUGGUGAGGUAAUGGCUCACCAAGGCGACGAUCGGUAGCUGGUCUGAGAGGAUGAUCAGCCACAUUGGGACUGAGACACGGCCCAAACUCCUACGGGAGGCAG